RNAcentral lists this ribosomal RNA (253 nucleotides) under uncultured bacterium. Its description in RNAcentral is "partial 16S ribosomal RNA". It matches the Rfam family "Bacterial small subunit ribosomal RNA", at positions 524 to 776 of the family's 1533-position model. The record is from RNAcentral.
UACAGAGGAGCCAAGCGUUGUCCGGAUUGACUGGGCGUAAAGCGCACGCAGGCGGUUGCGCGCGUGGGGUGUGAAAUCUGGCCGCUUAACGGCCAGGCGCCAUCCCAUACGGCGCGACUGGAGUGAUGCAGAGGUCGAUGGAAUUGCCGGUGUAGUGGUGAAAUGCGUAGAUAUCGAGAGGAACACCUGCGGCGAAGGCGGGUUGCUGGGCUGACACUGACGCUGAUGCGCGAAAGCUAGGGGAGCGAACGGG